RNAcentral lists this ribosomal RNA (304 nucleotides) under uncultured bacterium. Its description in RNAcentral is "bacterial SSU rRNA". It matches the Rfam family "Bacterial small subunit ribosomal RNA", at positions 30 to 334 of the family's 1533-position model. The record is from RNAcentral.
AUUGAACGCUGGCGGCACGCUUAACACAUGCAAGUCGAACGGUAACAGGUCUAGCUUGCUAGACGCUGACGAGUGGCGGACGGGUGAGUAACGCGUAGGAAUCUACCCUAGAGAUUGGGACAACUUGAGGAAACUUGAGCUAAUACCGGAUACGGCCUACGGGCUAAAGGUUGCCUUUUAGGCAGUCGCUUUAGGAUGAGCCUGCGUUAGAUUAGCUUGUUGGUGAGGUAAAGGCUCACCAAGGCGACGAUCUAUAGCUGUUCUGAGAGGAAGAUCAGCCACACUGGGACUGAGACACGGCCAG